UACCCAAUCCAUUUUGGGUAACCCUAUCAUGACUGGCGUAGACGGCGACGUCCGGGUCAGAAAGCUCAUGAGACAACGUGGAGAGUCUGGCAGCCUGAGCCGGGCCGACUGCCAGGGUAAGAAUGCUAUGGAG
This 133-nucleotide non-coding RNA is filed under the name Eubacterium barkeri. The record is from RNAcentral. Lineage: Bacteria; Bacillati; Bacillota; Clostridia; Eubacteriales; Eubacteriaceae.